This 211-nucleotide long non-coding RNA is filed under the name Nicotiana benthamiana. RNAcentral describes it as "long non-coding RNA (NBEN_LNC018994)". The record is from RNAcentral. Lineage: Eukaryota; Viridiplantae; Streptophyta; Magnoliopsida; Solanales; Solanaceae.
AAAAUAGAAGCUUUUCAUAAACCAAAACAAGAAUUGAAAAUUGUCAAAAAUACUUUACAACCUCCUCCGGAAAUAAAAAAUUUCAAAACUGAUUCAACUGAAGAAAUUGAACAGCUUUUAAAAGAGAAACUAAAGAAUAUUGUUUUUUAUUCAAAUAUUACUGGAAUUGAUUUACAGCCUCAACCUGUUUUCUCUGCAAAACAAGAAAAUU